Molecule: ribosomal RNA, 459 nt
Filed under: uncultured bacterium
Lineage: Bacteria
Description: bacterial SSU rRNA
Rfam family: Bacterial small subunit ribosomal RNA
Source: RNAcentral
CGGAUUGUAAACUGCUUUCAUUCGGGAAGAAGUCGGUGACGGUACCGACAUAUGAAUCGACGGCUAAAUACAUGCCAGCAGCCGCGGUAAUACGUAUGUCGCAAGCGUUAUCCGGAUUUAUUGGGCGUAAAGCGCGUCUAGGCGGCAAGGAAAGUCUGAUGUGAAAAUGCGGAGCUCAACUCCGUAUGGCGUUGGAAACUGCCUUACUAGAGUACUGGAGAGGUAGGCGGAACUACAAGUGUAGAGGUGAAAUUCGUAGAUAUUUGUAGGAAUGCCGAUGGGGAAGCCAGCCUACUGGACAGAUACUGACGCUAAAGCGCGAAAGCGUGGGUAGCAAACAGGAUUAGAUACCCUGGUAGUCCACGCUGUAAACGAUGAUUACUAGGUGUUGGGGGUCAAACCUCAGCGCCCAAGCUAACGCGAUAAGUAAUCCGCCUGGGGAGUACGUUCGCAAGUAUG